CUGAACAGUGAAUGAUACGUGAUCAAAACAACACAGUAAACCUUGGCACUCCCUUGCUAGCAAGAACCAAUAUAGUCUUUAAAGAAUAAAGGAGAGGUGAUAAGAUUAGGAUUUUGGAAUACCACCAAUGUUCAGAUGCCUCGGGUAAGUAAGGGGAACCCAUUUGAGAAGACACUCAAAAGAAGAAAAAAGGACCAAGAGAAGAUCUCCACUGGAUGUGGAAGGAGAAAACCAAACAGUAGCUCCCAAAAGGAGAAAAGAAGCUGGAGACUGGAACUCAGUAGCAGAGAAAGUUGGCUCAACUCGCUUUGUUUUGUGAAUUCUGAGCAAACUGAAACCAUUGGCUUAGAUACCCUCUUUGCAUCUAAAUGUGCGCUGCACUUUGGUUUCCAAAUUCUAACUGAUGAUCUCAAGCCCAAUACCCUUUCUUUCUUUUUAAGU
This is a long non-coding RNA of Telopea speciosissima, 441 nucleotides long. RefSeq lists it as uncharacterized. The record is from RefSeq and is a predicted model, not a curated record. NCBI's taxonomy places the organism in Eukaryota, Viridiplantae, Streptophyta, Magnoliopsida, Proteales, Proteaceae. The transcript has 2 exons.